ACGGCUCAGUAACACGUAGUCAACCUACCUUAAAGACACGGGCAAUCCCGGGAAACUGGGGCUAAUCCGUGGCAGGUUUAGAGUUCUGGAAUGGCUCUAAGCUCAAAGGGUUGGACGAGCAUGCUCGUUCAGUCGCUUUAAGACGGGACUGCGGCCGAUCAGGUUGUUGGUGGGGUAGUGGCCCACCAAGCCAGUAACCGGUGCGGGCUCUGAGAGGAGGGGCCCGGAGAUGGACACUGAGACAAGGGUCCAGGCCCUACGGGGCGCAGCAGGCGCGAAACCUUUACACUGCACGAAAGUGCGAUAAGGCUAUACCGAGUGCCAUCCGCUGAGGGUGGCUUUUCCUAGGUCUAAAUAGCCUGGGGAAUAAGGGGAGGGCAAGCCUGGUGUCAGCCGCCGCGGUAAUACCAGCUCCCCGAGUGGUCAGGACGAUUAUUGGGCUUAAAGCAUCCGUAGCCGGCUUUGUAGGUCCCUUGUUAAAUCCAACGGCUCAACCGUUGGAAUGCAGGGGAUACCGCGGAGCUAGGGGGCGGGAGAGGCGGACGGUACUCCAUAGGUAGGGGUAAAAUCCUUUGAUCUAUGGAAGACCACCAGUGGCGAAGGCGGUCCGCUAGAACGCGCCCGACGGUGAGGGAUGAAAGCUGGGGGAGCGAACCGGAUUAGAUACCCGGGUAGUCCCAGCUGUAAACGAUGCAGGCUAGGUGAUAGAGAGGCUACGCGCCUCCCUAGUGCCGCAGGGAAACCGAUAAGCCUGCCGCCUGGGGAGUACGAUCGCAAGGUUGAAACUUAAAGGAAUUGGCGGGGGAGCAC
This 810-nucleotide ribosomal RNA is filed under the name uncultured archaeon. RNAcentral's name for it is "bacterial SSU rRNA". It matches the Rfam family "Archaeal small subunit ribosomal RNA", at positions 85 to 879 of the family's 1478-position model. The record is from RNAcentral.